GAGUAACACGUGGGAACAUACCUUGAAGUGGGGGACAACAGUUGGAAACGACUGCUAAUACCGCAUAAUCCCUGAGGGGGAAAGAUUUAUCGCUUUAAGAUUGGCCCGCGGAAGAUUAGGUAGUUGGUGGGGUAAAGGCCUACCAAGCCGACGAUCUAUAGCUGGUCUGAGAGGACGAACAGCCACAUUGGAACUGAGACACGGUCCAGACUCCUACGGGAGGCAGCAGUGAGGAAUAUUGGGCAAUGGAGGAAACUCUGACCCAGCCAUGCCGCGUGAGUGAAGAAGGUUUUCGAAUUGUAAAGCUCUUUCGGAUGGGACGAUGAUGACGGUACCAUCUAAAGAAGCCCCGGCAAACUUCGUGCCAGCAGCCGCGGUAAUACGAAGGGGGCAAGCGUUGUUCGGAAUUACUGGGCGUAAAGGGUGUGUAGGCGGAUUUGUAAGAUAGUGGUGAAAUACCUGAGCUCAACUUAGGAAUUGCCAUUAUAACUAUAGAUCUGGAGUGAC
RNAcentral lists this ribosomal RNA (507 nucleotides) under uncultured bacterium. Its description in RNAcentral is "bacterial SSU rRNA". It matches the Rfam family "Bacterial small subunit ribosomal RNA", at positions 108 to 650 of the family's 1533-position model. The record is from RNAcentral.